GUUCAAUACCAUCAUGAUUUAUUUCUCUGCAGUCCAUGAUAGGUAAGCUCAUAGUUUGACAUUACCUAUCAAAACAGCCAGCUUGAAUGUGAUCCCAUUAUGGUCAAUGGUGUAUAAAUAAAUCAUUGUCAACUAAACCCUUCAAUUCUUAUUAACGAGGGCUUUCUUCAUGUGCAUUAAAAUUUUGCCCUUUUCAUCUAACUCAAAAAAAAAUUAUCAAACGAAGAAAAGACCUAUAAUGAAGAGGCAUCCUUCUCUAAUGCAGAGUACCGAUGGAGAUUAGGAAAACAAUAUUAUCCCAUAAUGACUAAAGAGGCAAGCAUUGAUCACAAAAAUAGACCAAAUCGCUGCAAUCAUAGCAAAACAUAAUAACUCAUGGCCUCAUUUUCUCUCUGAAUCCCUCCAUGUAUUCCAACCAAAUCAACUAUUACCCUAAAACAACAGAGAGCCUAUUCCAAAUGAGUCAAUAGAGAUAAAUGUGGGAAAAAAAGAAAAAAGGGCUAAUCAUUCACUAUUGUGAUAACACAUAAAACAAACAUCAGGAGGCAAAGUCCUAUGAUGCCCCCUUACCCAGAAAAGUUAUUGCCAUUAAAAUCUGCUUAGAGCUCAAAUGACUUCACUCGUGAGUGAGAAUUCUUAAUUCUUAACCUUGCAAGUAACUUUUACCCACAUUUCUCCAUUAACU
This 685-nucleotide unclassified non-coding RNA is filed under the name Hevea brasiliensis (rubber tree). Lineage: Eukaryota; Viridiplantae; Streptophyta; Magnoliopsida; Malpighiales; Euphorbiaceae. The record is from RNAcentral.